Phragmites australis (common reed) is the source of this 1726-nucleotide long non-coding RNA. RefSeq lists it as uncharacterized. The transcript has 3 exons. The record is from RefSeq and is a predicted model, not a curated record. Lineage: Eukaryota; Viridiplantae; Streptophyta; Magnoliopsida; Poales; Poaceae.
CGCCUUUCCGCUGCCUACAAGAGCACCGGCCGCGGCAGCGCCCUUCGCAUCGAGCCGGGAGAUCUCGAAUCCGACUCAGAUUUCGAUUGCUUUCUCCCGCAGCGUCCGUGCUCUCUCUCUCUCUCUCUCUCUCCCCGUCCUGGUCAGCCCCCGCGAGCGACGCGUGUGUGCCGUUGGGUUUUGCUUGCCUUCGACGACGGCAUCUGUUGCCUCGCAUGGCUCCUGCCAAGCGUCCUCGUGUCUCUCUCCCUCGCCGCGGCGGCCAGCCAGAUCCGCACGCGCGGGACUUCCUCUCGUCGCUUGUCGUCUGGGCAUCGCCUUGUGCUUCUCCUUCGCUCUCUAAAUCCCGUGCUCUUGUAGUAGAGUAGCCCACUGCCCCCCAAAAUCACAAUUCACAAAUGGCUUCCCUUCCCUUCCCCAUCUCUCGAGCGGCCGCGGCGCGCCGGCGUCUCAGAUUGAUGCAAGGGGCGGUGACAAGCUAGAGGCAGCAACUGCAUAUCUUGCAAGGAACAUGGUUUUCGGACAAUACCGAUGAUUUUCUUGCAAGUUGUGCAGUUGUUGUCUCAAGCUUGCUGCCUCCCUUUGCCAGAACUACCAAGAGUAAAAGCACAGGUUAUGCUAUUAAUGAACCCAUAGAUACUAAAUUUAGAAACGUGUAUCGGUAACAAACAUGAUGCAUUAUUAAUUAAAGUCAUGUGACAUGAAGUAAUAUUUUGCAGCAUGAUAUAUACAGAGUAGAUAUUAGGUACAAGACUACGAGAAAAAAUGACACUUGUUUGUAAGGAAAUGCUGGCUGCUUGCCCAUUUUAGCAGACUGUUUCCACCACGCAGAACGUCAACAAACUCCAGAAAGUUGUAAUAAGGUGAGUGGAAAUUCUGAUAAGAACAUGUGCGUAUAGGUAAAUGAUUUAUUGUGAUUUUUAUUAUUUGAUCUUUAAAGGGUGCACUAAUAGCAUUUGUAAGUCCGUUCUGAUUCUUCUAUUAUGUGUUCAGGUUGCUCAAUAUUUACUCUGCGGUAAGCUUAAAGCUUUGGGUGUCAUUGGUCUUGAACUGUGUAUCCUUUUAACUUCAUUUGCUGUUAAGUGCGCUGUGAUUGACAAUUAGCAGAACGGGUUGACCAUAUUAUAGCUUCAUCCCACUUUCUCUGUUUUGCAAGGUCGGAACAGGCAUGGUUACAAAUGAGAGUUCAGUUGCAUUUGAGGUUUGAGCUAUCCUGCUAUAUCUUCAUCGAAGGUGGUUUCUGGUGUAUUCAGGAAUGCCCCGUUGAAGGCAUGGUAUUUGGAAUUUUUGGGCUGUCGUGCAACAGUACUAGAAUUUCUAAAUUUCACUGUCAUUUGCAGCCAAACCCACUACUGAGGAAGGAAGCGGCCAAGAGACACCUUGAAGUAUGAUUGCUGGUUAAGGCAUCUGUUCAAUUUUGGAUUUCUUGGUGGAACAUAAGAGUCCCAAACACAGUCCUGCUGUUGAUGGAAGAUGAGAGAUUUCAGUUAACAUGCAGUGGAAGAUAAUUCCAAAUUGGUAUGCGGUGCUGUUAUCCGUUGGAACUCCUAAUUAACUCUUUGACUUCACCGUCUUCGGAAAUCUAACCGGUGUUUCAAGCUGCCUUUUCUAGUUCAGCAACUUGUAAAUGAAGCAGCCUUUUCUAGUCAGCAACUUGUAAUUUUUGCUAUUAGAACUAUCUGAAAGAGAAAGCAUGUGUCUUUUGAGAUGUAGUUCCUUUUUUAUA